This 63-nucleotide transfer RNA is filed under the name Xystrocera globosa. RNAcentral's name for it is "tRNA-Pro". Lineage: Eukaryota; Metazoa; Arthropoda; Insecta; Coleoptera; Cerambycidae. The record is from RNAcentral.
CAAGGAAAAGAAAACUCUUAUCUUUAAUCUCCAAAAUUAAUAUUUUUAUAAACUAUUCCUUGU